GGAUUGAAACUGAGCCUUCAAAGUGACCUGAGCUGCUGCAAUCAGAUUCUUAACCCACUGCAUCACAGUGGGAACUCCUGGAAAAUGUCUUCUUCAUCUUUGUUUAUUUCCUAACUUUGAGAUAUGCCCACAAGGAAUUUCUAUCCAUUGCGUUAGUGAAUGAAUAUAAAAUUAAUUAUAUGCACCCAGAUUGGUUAAUUUAAUGAAACCAAAUGGUAAUCUGUCUAGAAAGACCCACAGUGAGAGGAAGAAAUUUAGCUAUUGCAAAUAAGAAUAGGAUCUGUAGAUUUCCCAUAUCCAUUUUAAUAUUAUUUAGUUCCUUAAAAGCAGAAAUUGGGUUUUUGUCAUGCCUUUUUUUAGCACUUAGCCCACUUCUCACUUAACAACAGAUAUUCAAUUAGCAUUUGUUGAGUGACUGAAGAAAUGAUCGGUACUUAUUUAUUUAAAUUUUGAUUUUCUCCUCCAAAAUUAAAAAAAAAUCCAAUUUUCUUUGAAGAGUCAGUUUUAUUUCUCCUUCGAUUACCUGUUCUUUCUAUUGACUUUUUAAAAAUUUUCUUGUAAAUAAUCUGCCUCAAGCAGGUGUUAUUUCUUUUAUGCUGAACUCUUAUAAUUCAAGUAUGGCCCAGAUGUCCGUAGACCAACACACCAAAUAAAUUAAACACCUCUCACCUACUACGGAUGGCAAUGACAGAUUUUCUAUAUUUAUCUUUUAAGCCAAGAUUGUCCUUUUAAACUUUUGAUCCUAAUCUUUAUUUUUUGUGACAUUAGCCAAAGUCUUGUGGAUCUUAUUUUCUCUGUGUUACCUUCUCAGUGGUCCUUUGAUGAAGAGAAGGAAAUGUUCAAAGACUUGAUCUGGACAACAGAGAACUACACAGCUGUGCUGCUCCUUUUUUCCUCAGCCUUGACCUUACCUUGAAGAAAGCACUCCUUUAGGCUCAAACUCCUGAAAUCGACUGAAGUGUCUCUUAGGAUAUGCUUUGGUCCUAGAAAAAAACAUUUAAAUUCCAUUUCAGGUUUUUGAAACAAAGGAAAUACAUGAGAAAGAUAUUCCUUAGAUGAGGAAGAGAGAAAGGAAAUAUCUGGCAUAAAACGACUGACUGCCAACAGAGGUUACUAUUUUACCAGGCAGGAGAAGCAACAGUCUUUGAAUAAAUGCCUCUAAUAACAAUGCUAAUUAUUCAUUUAUCUAUUCGACAAACAUUAAUUAAAUAUGCCAUGUGCCAGAUGCUGGGAAAUGAAUGAGUCCCUCACCCUCAUGGGCCAAGAUGUGGCUUCAGCUCACAAAGGGGAGAAGAAAGGCCAUGUCCUUUUCAUCCAAAAGAAAUUUCAACAGCAGCAUCUCUUUACCAGAACAAGACUGCAACGAGCUGCAGGAUGGAUUGAGAAAUAAAGUCUUCUGAGAGGCCUGAAAAUCAUGUGUUCAAGAGGAGAACAGGACGCAAAUAUAAUGCACAGAAGUUCCGCAGCUGCCACAUGAGCAUGACCUUGAGGAAGAGAGCCCCACGGUAUGCAAAAGAACGAGCAAGAGAGUGAGGGAGGAAGCCUGACUGCUGCUGGCCUCCGACAGCUACUGGUCCACUCAGGACGGAACCCAGCAGGACCCCGAAGCAUCUUUCUGGGACAGACCCCUCCCUCCCGUAUACUCUGUUGUAGCUCCUCUCUGAGGUACCUAGAUGCGCAUUUCCUGAGUCCUUUGACAGAUGCUAAGGCCCGCAUCCAAAGGAAGGAAUUAACUAUUUGAUGACCACGAGCGCAUUUCCCCCAGACCUACUGGCACCUAAGGGUUAAUGCUGUUAACCUCUGUGAUCCAGCCCCCGUUACCUCACCAUCUACCAAUCAGAGAACUGUGGGCGAGCUGAUCCCGCCUCCCUCACCUGGCCUUUAAAAAUGAUUUGCUGAAAACCGCUGGGGAGUUCAGGCUUUUUGAGCACCUGUCCCAGACCCGUGUGUGCAGUGCUUUACCAUAAACACUGCUUUUCCUUCACCACAGCCCCGAUGUCAUGGAGGGUCCAGGGUGAGUGGACCCACGUUUGGUUAUGUAAUGUGGAUCCCUGUUUCAGCAUUUCAUUUUCCUACAUGAGAAAAAUAAACCCCUACUUGUUUAUUCCUACAGUCAGGGUUCUGCAUGUGCAACCAAACACAAAUUUAAAUAAUAUGUAGGUUCCAAGGAUUUCUGCAUAAAGAAAUCUUUCCUAAACUUACAUGCACCCAAGUAUUUUUUAAUUAUUUAUUUUUACUUCAUUUAAUGUAAAAUCCCAUAAAACAACGUUGCAUAGAAUACCUGUUUGGGAAAUGCAGUUUUAUUUCCUGCUAUAAAUAGCUUUAAUAACUGCCAGUCUGUUCUGCUGGUUAAACUACUAAAUUAAUGAGAUCAGGGCAUAAAACUGGUCUUCAAAUGGACAAAUUUGUUUCACCUUAUAACCCUUGCUAUCUUGGGAAAGACAUUAUGGAUUUAGCCAUGAGUCCAUUGAUUCCCAAAAUAUUUAUUGGUCAUCUAAUUGAUUCCACAUUCUCUGCCAGGUUCUGGAGAUACACGGAUGAUUUAAUCAUGUUCCCAAGUCUCAGUUAUCUUAGAGUUUAGUAAGGAUGACAAAACAAUUAAUUAUAAUGUAAUGCGUCUAACUUUCUAUUACUUCAAUUUAAGAGCAAUUCCAAAAUUCAGAACACAAUCAUAAUUUUUUUUUUAAUCAAGACUAUUGGCCUACACAGUUAGGCUCUUAGGGAGAACUAGGUUCCUUAACAAGAAAAGAUCUAAGCUAAAUAGAUUUGAUUGCCUUUAACUCUUGGACACCAAAUGACACACACUGAAUAAAAAAGAUACCAAUUCUUUGUGAACACUGUCAAUUAAAAGUCAAUGCUACUGAUAAAAGUGGACGGAUCUGAUAUGGAAAGAAGAAAGAGGUAAUUAUAAUUAAAGGGGAGGAAGGUUCAGGUUAAAAGGACAGAUACUUUUAGUAGAAAUAAAGGACUUGAGCAUGUUUUUAGACUUCAGGAGAGUUGUUAGUGGGAGGGCAGAAGACAAAUGUGCCAAAAAGAAGAGUUAGUUGAUGGACCAAAUUCUCAGAGGAGAUAGGAGGAGUUGGAAUAAAAAACACUGAAUUAACCUGAACAGAAAUAAAAUCUUAUCCUCUGAUUUAAAGGGAGGGGAAUAAGAUGAGAGUGGAUGUAGGAGGCACUGAGAUGAGUUGUGUCAUAAACAUAUACAUUGAAGUCUUUGCCCCACUACCUAAGAAUGUGACCUUAUUUAGAAAUAGAACCAUAGUGGACAUUAUGAGUUAGGAUGAGAUCAUUCUGGAGUAGAGUGGGUCCUUAAUCCAAUAUAACUGGGGUUCUCAUAAAAGGAGGGAAAUUUGGAGACAGAUGCCCAGAAGGAAGAAGACGUGAGGACACUUGAGAAAUGACAAUCCCGUGGCAACCGAAACAGAGACUGGAGUUGAUCCUUCUCCAAGCCACAGAAUGCCACGAUUGCUGAGAAUUCCCAGAAGCUCAGAAGGAACAAAGAGGAAUGCUCUUCUACAGAUUUCAGAGGGAGCAUGGCCCUGCUCGUGUCUUCCUUUCAGACUUCUAGUCUCCAGGACUGAGGCAGUAAAUUUUUGUUGUCAUAAACCACCACGUUUAUGAUACUUUGUUAUGGCAGCCUUAGGAACUCAUGGAGGAUGUUGCAGGAAAAAAAAAAAAACACACUUGUAGCCUUAUCUUGUUGAUGAAGAAGGGGUUCAGGGAGUAACAGGAAGGUUUAGAAGGCGGCGUUGAGCUGUAGUGAAGUCCUAAACUAAUACCUGAAGGGAAUGGAAGUGGAAGCCAAGCAUGACGAUAUAAAAAUGAGUAAUGAGAAACUGGCUGAAGUCAGUGACUAUGAAUUUAUGGUAACACUAAUAUGAUAAAAAUCCCAGACACAAAUAUGACUUUAGUACAUGAUAAAGGUGGUAUUUCAAGUCAAUGAAUAAAUGAUGGAUCCAAUACAGUAGAUUUGACAAUUUGGAGGAAAUAAAUAAGGUUGAAUGUCUACAGUCAGCAUUGCCUGUCCCCUUCAAUCUAAAAGUGAUCUUUAAAAGUUAUUUAAAAAUAACAGUGGAAAAAGAAAAAUUUAGAAGACAAUUUAAAUUUUACAUAGUCAGCAAUAGCAUUUAAGUGAUAGUUGGUGAGCAAACUUUCUGUAGUGAGCGUAUAUUAUUUUUUAACUGAAAAAAUAUCAAUACAUAUUAUCUUCAACUCUUAUUAUGGUUUUCUUAUAAAACAUAUAUACAUAUGCGAUGUGUAUAUCUCUAAAGAAAAUAAAUGGUAAAAUUCUAUUCAAAAAAUGGUAGAACUAUAAUACGUUGUUAUUGACAAUUAUCUCUAAAUGAUGGACUUGCAAGCUUUCGAUAUGAUUUUAUUAUUUUCCAAAUUACACAACCAACACAUGGCUUUAAUCAUUUAUAACUUUAUUUAGAAAACAAAGUGUUACAACAAUUUGAUUCCAGAAUUUUAGAGUCUUAUACACAGAGUUGUAUACACAUGUGUAUACGUGAGACCUAGUAGCUUCCUUGGAAAAUGGUGGCUCCCGCUUCUUCUGCACAACAUGGAACACUUGAGAAAAGUUAAGGAGAAAAACAACCUGCCUAAAAAGAAUAUAUGCAUAUUUGUAUAUCUCCAUAUACAUACCCCUCUGCAUAUGUAUUCAAAUGCAACACCUGUAAGAAUAUUUCUAAAAAUCUCCACAUCUCUGUCACUUGCUCAACCCCAGAUUCAAUGAAAAUGGAAGUUCUGCUGAAAAUAAAAUGUUCUGAAGAAGAAGAAGCAGGUUAGUUUAAGAACAAUUAGGCUCAAAAUAAGUUUGAGUAUUAUCUUCCUGGUGGGCUCAGUUGUGUAAUAUCAUCCAGAAAAAGCACAAGUUUGUAGAAUAUUCUCAGAGAUGAGUUUUUGAGAUGUUUUAUUUUAGUGCUUUCAUUUUCUAUAAUGAAAUGAGAUAAUAAAUUCCUAUUUGUGUCUGAGUAUCCCCAAAAUAGCUUGUAAGAAUAGAAAAAUCUGACAGUUGCUGAGGAAAAAAGGAAAAAAAAAAACUUGAAAAUAGCUGAAUCUGUCCAAUCUUGUAUUUAUCCAUUCAGGCUAAAAAUGGUGUUAUUGUUGAAAAGAAGUUAAGAAAUUUUCUUUAGGAAAAAAAAAAAAAAAAACUUUUUCUGUGGAGAAAAAUGGCAUUUGUUGGUCCCUACAUACAAAGGUGCGAAAUUAAUUUAAUUCUCUUUUAUUAGUAACUAAGUAAAAACAUGAUGGUGGAUCAUCAUUUCAUUCUGCAAAUACUUAGAAGUCCCAGCCUGGGCUGGAUCCAAGGCUCUGCAGUGAUGGAAACCAGCUCCAGCAGGAAUAAAAUGGAGUUUCUGCCCCCAAAGAACUUCAUAAUCUUCAUAAAUUAAAACCAUGAUGAGGGGCACAGAUAGGCAGUUCACAAAAGAAGAAAAACUAAUUGUCUCGAAAUAUAUACAAAAUAUUCAUCGUCACUAGUAAGCAAGAAAUGCAACUUUAAAAUCACAAUGAAAUAUGGUUUUUCAUCGAGCAACUUAGAAUGAAUGUCUAGGAAUGAGACACAAGAUUGGUACAUAAAAAUAGGACUUCUAAUUAAUUAUUAGCGGAACCUAAACUAGAAAUUCUUUCUGGAAUAUUAUCUGGCAGCGUGUAUCAAAAGAAAUAAAAGUAUUCGCAUUCUAUGACACAAAUCUACCUCCAGGAGUUUCAACUGAGAAGAUAGACCAUUGAAGUUCUCCUGAAGGGAGCAGUAGAAUGUCCAUCACAUGAUUUUUAGUAGUUUUUUAGGAGCUAAAAAAUUAUAUAUUAAUCAAUGUACCAUGAAAUGGAACAUUUAUCAAAAAUAUGGCACAUUCUUAUAAUACUAUGUUGCUUUUAAAACUUAAGUAGUGAAAUAAUAGUGAAUAAUAUCAAGAAUUUUAUGAUACAAUUAGUGAAAAGACCCACAAAAAUUGUGUUCAGUAGGAUGCCAUUAUAAAUAAUUCAUGUGCAUAAAUUAUAAAAAAGAUAUAAACCCAAGUGGUAAGAUAUAAACCAAAAGUUUGCACUUGUUAUAGUAGAAAAUGAGAUUAUAAUUUUUUUUUUUUUUAAAUGUUAGGGCUGCUCCCUCAGUAUAUGGAAGUUCC
This is a non-coding RNA of Sus scrofa (pig), 6128 nucleotides long. The record is from RefSeq and is a predicted model, not a curated record. NCBI's taxonomy places the organism in Eukaryota, Metazoa, Chordata, Mammalia, Artiodactyla, Suidae.